AGCAGCCGCGGUAAUUCCAGCUCCAAUAGCGUAUAUUAAAGUUGUUGCAGUUAAAAAGCUCGUAGUUGAAUUUCGGGGUUAGUAAGUUGGUCGUGCCACUGGUAUGUACUGGCUUUACUGAUUCCUCCUUCUUGUAGAACCGUAAUGCCAUUAAGUUGGUGUUGCGGGGAAACAGGACUGUUACUUUGAAAAAAUUAGAGUGUUUAAAGCAAGCUAACGCUUAAAUACAUUAGCAUGGAAUAAUGAAAUAGGACGUUCGAUCCUAUUUUGUUGGUUUCUAGGAUUGACGUAAUGAUUAAUAGGGAUAGUUGGGGGCAUUAGUAUUCAAUUGUCAGAGGUGAAAUUCUUAGAUUUAUUGAAGACUAACUACUGCGAAAGCAUUUGCCAAGGAUGUUUUCAUUAAUCAAGAACGAAAGUUAGGGGAUCGAAGACGAUCAGAUACCGUCGUAGUCUUAACCAUAAACUAUGCCGACUAGGGAUCGGAUGAUGUUAAUUUUAUAAUGACUCAUUCGGCGCCUUA
RNAcentral lists this ribosomal RNA (520 nucleotides) under uncultured Glomus. RNAcentral describes it as "SSU rRNA". It matches the Rfam family "Eukaryotic small subunit ribosomal RNA", at positions 569 to 1090 of the family's 1831-position model. The record is from RNAcentral. Lineage: Eukaryota; Fungi; Glomeromycota; Glomeromycetes; Glomerales; Glomeraceae.